Oryza sativa Japonica Group (Japanese rice) is the source of this 171-nucleotide microRNA precursor. It matches the Rfam family "MIR812 microRNA precursor family". The record is from Rfam. NCBI's taxonomy places the organism in Eukaryota, Viridiplantae, Streptophyta, Magnoliopsida, Poales, Poaceae.
AAAAAGACAAACACUGUGUUUCUGUGUCCAACGUUUAACUAUUCAUCUUAUAUAAUUUUUUUUAUAAUUAGUAUUUUUAUUGUUGGUAGAUGAUAAAAUAUGAUUAAUAUUUUACGUGUGACUUGACGGACGGUCAAACGCUGGACACGGAAAUCCAGGGUUUGUCUUUUU